RNAcentral lists this ribosomal RNA (497 nucleotides) under uncultured bacterium. RNAcentral describes it as "partial 16S ribosomal RNA". It matches the Rfam family "Bacterial small subunit ribosomal RNA", at positions 28 to 507 of the family's 1533-position model. The record is from RNAcentral.
GAUGAACGCUGGCGGCGUGCCUAAUACAUGCAAGUCGAGCGAACAGACGAGGAGCUUGCUCCUCUGACGUUAGCGGCGGACGGGUGAGUAACACGUGGAUAACCUACCUAUAAGACUGGGAUAACUUCGGGAAACCGGAGCUAAUACCGGAUAAUAUAUUGAACCGCAUGGUUCAAUAGUGAAAGACGGUUUUGCUUUCACUUAUAGAUGGAUCCGCGCCGCAUUAGCUAGUUGGUAAGGUAACGGCUUAACAAGGCUACGAUGCGUAGCCGACCUGAGAGGGUCAUCGGCCAGCCUGGAAGUGAGAAUGGGCCCAGACACCUACGGGGGGCCACAGUAGGGACUCUUACGCAAUGGAGGAGAGGCGGACAGUGCAACACCGCGUGAAUGAUGAAGGUCUUAUGACGGGAGAACUCUGUUAUUAGGGAAGAUCAAAUGUGUAAGUAACUAUGCACGUCUUGACGGUACCUAAUCAGAAAGCCACGGCUAACUCCGUG